This 253-nucleotide ribosomal RNA is filed under the name uncultured bacterium. RNAcentral's name for it is "partial 16S ribosomal RNA". It matches the Rfam family "Bacterial small subunit ribosomal RNA", at positions 524 to 776 of the family's 1533-position model. The record is from RNAcentral.
UACGUAGGGCGCGAGCGUUGUCCGGAAUUAUUGGGCGUAAAGAGCUCGUAGGCGGCCUGUUGCGUCUGCUGUGAAAUCCCGGGGCUUAACCCCGGGCGUGCAGUGGAUACGGGCAGGCUGGAGGCAGGCAGGGGAGACUGGAAUUCCUGGUGUAGCGGUGAAAUGCGCAGAUAUCAGGAGGAACACCGGUGGCGAAGGCGGGUCUCUGGGCCGGUACCGACGCUGAGGAGCGAAAGCGUGGGGAGCGAACAGG